This 915-nucleotide ribosomal RNA is filed under the name uncultured marine archaeon. Its description in RNAcentral is "bacterial SSU rRNA". It matches the Rfam family "Archaeal small subunit ribosomal RNA", at positions 1 to 922 of the family's 1478-position model. The record is from RNAcentral.
UUCCGGUUGAUCCUGCCGGACCUGACUGCUAUCGGAUUGAUACUAAGCCAUGCGAGUCUUUGCAGUAAUGCAAGGCAUACGGCUCAGUAACACGUAGUCAACUUACCCUAUGGACGAGGAUAAUCUCGGGAAACUGAGCAUAAUACUCGAUAGAUCAUAAUGCCUGGAAUGGUUUAUGGUUGAAAUGAUUCGUCGCCAUAGGAUGGGACUGCGGCCUAUCAGCUUGUUGGUGAGGUAAUGGCCCACCAAGGCGAUUACAGGUACGGGCUCUGAGAGGAGAAGCCCGGAGAUGGGUACUGAGACAAGGACCCAGGCCCUAUGGGGCGCAGCAGGCGAGAAAACUUUGCAAUGUGCGAAAGCACGACAAGGUUAAUCCGAGUGAUUUCUGCUAAAGAAAUCUUUUGCAAGUCAUAAAACCACUAGUGAAUAAGGGGUGGGCAAGUUCUGGUGUCAGCCGCCGCGGUAAAACCAGCACCUCAAGUGGUCAGGAGGAUUAUUGGGCCUAAAGCAUCCGUAGCCGGCUCUGUAAGUUUUCGGUUAAAUCCAUGUGCUCAACGCAUGGGCUGCCGAAAAUACUGCAUAGCUAGGGAGUGGGAGAGGUAGACGGUACUCAGUAGGUAGGGGUAAAAUCCUUUGAUCUAUUGAUGACCACCUGUGGCGAAGGCGGUCUACCAGAACACGUUCGACGGUGAGGGAUGAAAGCUGGGGGAGCAAACCGGAUUAGAUACCCGGGUAGUCCCAGCUGUAAACGAUGCAGACUCGAUGAUGCAUUGGCAUAAUAGCCAUUGCAGUGUCGCAGGGAAGCCGUUAAGUCUGCCGCCUGGGAAGUACGUACGCAAGUAUGAAACUUAAAGGAAUUGGCGGGGGAGCACCACAAGGGGUGAAGCCUGCGGUUCAAUUGGAUUCAACGCCGGG